This 67-nucleotide transfer RNA is filed under the name Megacyllene sp. KM-2017. Its description in RNAcentral is "tRNA-Ser". The record is from RNAcentral. Lineage: Eukaryota; Metazoa; Arthropoda; Insecta; Coleoptera; Cerambycidae.
AAUCAAUGAACUUGUAUAAGUAUGUAUUUUGAAAAUACAAAAAAGAAGAAUAAUCUUCUAUUGGUUU